ACAAUUCAGCAGUUGAUCACUCAGUUCAUGGGCAGAUGAAGAAGACAACUAGCUUCAAGAAUUAAUGUAAAUUACAGGACACACUGAUCACCAACACUUUGAACACACUUGCAGCCCUGGGUUCUUCCCAAAGCUACACCA
RNAcentral lists this ribosomal RNA (141 nucleotides) under Tursiops truncatus (common bottlenose dolphin). Its description in RNAcentral is "5.8S ribosomal RNA (ENSTTRG00000023835.1)". It matches the Rfam family "5.8S ribosomal RNA". From Rfam's summary of the family: 5.8S ribosomal RNA (5.8S rRNA) is a component of the large subunit of the eukaryotic ribosome. It is transcribed by RNA polymerase I as part of the 45S precursor that also contains 18S and 28S rRNA. The record is from RNAcentral. Lineage: Eukaryota; Metazoa; Chordata; Mammalia; Artiodactyla; Delphinidae.